This 254-nucleotide ribosomal RNA is filed under the name uncultured bacterium. RNAcentral's name for it is "partial 16S ribosomal RNA". It matches the Rfam family "Bacterial small subunit ribosomal RNA", at positions 524 to 776 of the family's 1533-position model. The record is from RNAcentral.
UACGGGGGGUGCAAGCGUUGUUUGGAUUUACUGGGCGUAAAGGGCGCGUAGGCGGUUACUGCAAGUCAGUUGUGAAAUCUCCGGGCUUAACCCGGAAAGGUCAACUGAUACUGCAGGGCUAGAGUGCAGAAGGGGCAACUGGAAUUCUCGGUGUAGCGGUGAAAUGCGUAGAUAUCGAGAGGAACACCUGCGGCGAAGGCGGGUUGCUGGGCUGACACUGACGCUGAUGUGCGAAAGCUAGGGGAGCGAACGGG